ACUUGAAAUUUCUAUUAAACCAAUUGAUGCAAUGAAGUUAUUUAAAGUUCGGUUAUUGGUUGGUUUUAGAUUGAAAUGGCUUAGGUUUGUUAAAUAGUUGUUAAGGGUUAAAGAAAUUGUACUUGGAUUGGUUACUAGAUGCAAUUAGCUUAAUCAGCAGGUUAUUGAAAAUAAGCUAAAUAUAGUUUUGAAAUCUGGAUUGUGAGUUGGGUUAAGUGGCAUGUUAGUUUGUUUGAAGUGUGAAGUUUGAUGACUGAAAUUAGUUUGUGAUUAGCUGAAUCCAAAUUCUUCAAUGUGCAGGUGCAAGUUUUUCAUUGUUGAGGUAUCAAAUACCAUCAUGCAAGGUGAGGGCUGCAUUGUUUCUACUUAUUUGAAUUUCCUGAUAUCGACUUUUGUAAAGGUUGCAUCUGAUCUCGCUCAAGAGCUUGUUGGAGUUGGAUGACCUAUUGUUGCUCCUUAUUCUGCUGUCAGCAAUGUUAUUCCUCUUGUUGUUGUUGUUACUAUAGCUAAAGAGCUUAUUGAAGAUUUUCAGCGGAUAAAAGCAGAUUCAUGGUGAUGGUUUGAACUGUUGUGAGCUGGAUUUAGGGAGGUUUUGGAGAUUGGAAGGGAUGGCGCUUCGAGAAGCAAAAUGGUUAUUAAGAGCAGCGAUUUGCUAUCCAAUAGGUGGUAAUCUUGAUCGUUCGGCAUAUCGGAAAUGACUAUCAGGAUUUGAUUCAAUCUAUACUGAGAAGGGAAGUCUCUUGACAACAGUCAAUUCCCACCAAUUUGACGAAACAGCAGUUCACAAUCUCGUUACAUUCUUCGAAAGUUGACACUUUUUGGAUGGAGUCAUGUUUGACGGAUGAAACAAACCAAGUUCCAAUCAAGAUCUCGAUGGCUUCUUUGAUGCUUAAAAAUGGUUCUGAAUCGUAUCCUGCUUGUAGGAGCUCACCAUAUCAGCAUGUAGUUUUAUUUGGUUUUUUCUUUUAACCUCUUCAUAGAAAUUAUUCUUGCCAUUUGAAAGAACUCAUCUCUAAAUGAUAUUAGUUCAAUUAAUAGCAAGUCUUACUAUUAGAAAA
This is a long non-coding RNA of Lathyrus oleraceus (garden pea), 1058 nucleotides long. RefSeq lists it as uncharacterized. Lineage: Eukaryota; Viridiplantae; Streptophyta; Magnoliopsida; Fabales; Fabaceae. The record is from RefSeq and is a predicted model, not a curated record. The transcript is spliced from 3 exons.